RNAcentral lists this long non-coding RNA (316 nucleotides) under Homo sapiens (human). Its description in RNAcentral is "HSALNT0220661". Lineage: Eukaryota; Metazoa; Chordata; Mammalia; Primates; Hominidae. The record is from RNAcentral.
CUUUAACAAAAUUUGAGUGAAGCUUUAUUUCUCUAAAAAGAAACACAAGAUAGGCAAGAUGCAAAGAAUGGUCAGAGGGAAGAGGGAAGUUAAAAUGAAGGUGAUUGCCGCUCUGACAUCGUAACUACACUUGUGAAGGCAAUUUACUCUAUGUCUCUACGGAUUUGGCUGCCAUAAGUGCCUCAGGUUCCAGCUAGCCCAAUGAGGGAAGAAAAAAACUUAAAAUGGAGUAAGAGGAAGGAAAAGGACAAUAAUAAAAAACUCAAGCAGAACAGAGCCCUCAGAAAUAAUGCCGCAUAUCUACAACCAUCUGAUC